Molecule: ribosomal RNA, 484 nt
Filed under: uncultured bacterium
Lineage: Bacteria
Description: partial 16S ribosomal RNA
Rfam family: Bacterial small subunit ribosomal RNA
Source: RNAcentral
AUUGAACGCUGGCGGCAGGCCUAACACAUGCAAGUCGAGCGGAUGAAGGGAGCUUGCUCCUGGCUUCAGCGGCGGACGGGUGAGUAAUGCAUAGGAAUCUGCCCGGUAGUGGGGGAUAACGUCCGUAAACGGGCGCUAAUACCGCAUACGUCCUGAGGGAGAAAGUGGGGGAUCUUAGGACCUCACGCUAUCAGAUGUGCCUUGGACGGAUUAGCUAGUUGGUGAGGUAACGGCCUACCAAGGCGACGAUCCGUAACUGGUCUGAGAGGAUGAUCAGUCACACUGGAACUGAGACACGGUCCAGACUCCUACGGGAGGCAGCAGUGGGGAAUAUUCGGCAAUGGGCGAAAGCCUGAUCCAGCAAUGCCGCGUGUGUGAUGAAGGUCUUCGGAUUGUAAGGCACUUUAAGUUGGGAGGAAGGGCAGUAAGUUAAUACCUUGCUGUUUUGACGUUACCAACAGAAUAAGCACCGGCUAACUUCGUG